RNAcentral lists this ribosomal RNA (291 nucleotides) under Triticum aestivum (bread wheat). Its description in RNAcentral is "partial small subunit ribosomal RNA". Lineage: Eukaryota; Viridiplantae; Streptophyta; Magnoliopsida; Poales; Poaceae. The record is from RNAcentral.
AUGCCCGCCGGCCCCCUCCCCCGUUCGCUAGGGUUGAGGUCGUCGGGCCUCCUCCGGCGGCAAGGUGCUCGGCGAGGAGGAGAAGAACGCCGGGAACGUCUCCGCCCGGCCCGAGCUCACCGACACUGGCGCCCCGAGCACCUUCUCCUCAGGCGUCGCCGCCCCGUUCCUCUUAGACUCCGACGCUGCCGGCCACCUGCACCGCCGUCCUCUUCAACUCUUCUGCUUCGUCGAUGGUCGCCACCACGCAUCGAGGCCCAAGGAGGAGGAGUUGGAGGAGGGAGAGUAUGA